RNAcentral lists this ribosomal RNA (253 nucleotides) under uncultured bacterium. RNAcentral describes it as "partial 16S ribosomal RNA". It matches the Rfam family "Bacterial small subunit ribosomal RNA", at positions 524 to 776 of the family's 1533-position model. The record is from RNAcentral.
UACGGGGGGGGCAAGCGUUGUUCGGAAUUACUGGGCGUAAAGGGCUCGUAGGCGGCCAACUAAGUCAGACGUGAAAUCCCUCGGCUUAACCGGGGAACUGCGUCUGAUACUGGAUGGCUUGAGUUCGGGAGAGGGAUGUGGAAUUCCAGGUGUAGCGGUGAAAUGCGUAGAUAUCUGGAGGAACACCGGUGGCGAAGGCGGCAUCCUGGACCGACACUGACGCUGAUGAGCGAAAGCGUGGGGAGCAAACAGG